CAAGAUCUCGGAACGGCUCUGAGCCCUGCGCACGCGGGAAGGGCUGCCGGAGGCGCCCGUAGGGAGGCGCGCGCGCGGGCGGCUCAGGGCCCGCGUUCCUCUCCCUCCCGCCUACCGCCACUUUCCCGCCCUGUGUGCGCCCCCACCCCCACCACCAUCUUCCCACCCUCAGCGCCGGCGCCCCGCGGUGACGGCCCAGGGGCCGGACGCCUGGAACGCAACUCCAGGCAGCUCGCCCCCUAGCUACAUCCGUCACCUGACACGGCCCUACCAGGAACAGCCGCGCUCCCGCGGAUUCUGAUUUGGAAAACAAGCGAAAUUAAACGAAACCGCUGCACGCCUCUAACGCGACAUCUGGACACGGCGUGGCGCUGGCGCCGCCGGAGCUGCGGGCCCGGCCUGGCACCGGACUAGCUGGGAGACAGGAAAAGCGGUCCUGUUUGAGAACAGUAAAAGCAGGGCAAGGAAAGGAAGGAGCGGCAGAAAGGAGGGGCAGUGGGGCCCAUGGAAGUGGUGGUUAGGGCUGAAAAUCUACUGACAGAGCUUCAACAGAGCUGAAAUCCACCUGGACAGGGAAGGGAACCAGCCAUCUCAGCCUCAGCCUGGUACUGAACCCUUGCCAGAGAGGUGAUGUGGUCCUUUGGAGGAAAGAAGAAACAAGUUGGAUAUGGACAAGAUGUAAUUUCUUCUGUCAAGGAACCCACAGGAUAAUAGUCUCCCUUUUGAUGAGAAGAGUAAGCCUCAUUCUGAUUCAACAGCAGAGAUCAAAGAAAAGACUUCUGUUUUCUGGCCACCAGAUAUAUGUUAUCUGUGCUUAAAGAAUUGAAAAACACACAUCAAAGGAGAAUUCUCUUGGAAGGAGAGUUUCAGAGGGAAAUACCAGAUGCUGGUGAUUUGGUGAGAAAGAAGCAACUAUUUCUGUGAUUUAAUUUCAUCCUGAGCAUUAAAGAGGCACCCUUUCACUACUAUUGGUAACUCCGUGCUUCCAAGAACUAAUGAGCUGAAGAACUUAGCACUUGUGAUGGAUUAGUCAAGCAAAAAUUAUGAAGGUUCAAGCAUUAUUGUUAGGUGUGCUGGAAUCCUUUCCCGAGUCAGUACUGCUUUCUAGAACAAAACUGGGGAGAUCUAUUUGGAAUGUAUCUACUCCAAAGAAACCAUCAGAGCCACAGCUACCUUCCAGAUGACUUCUUUCUACCACUUUCUUUCUUCCCAGUGUAAGAGAAUGCAAGUAUAUGCUGAUGUUUGGAGCAAGAACAUUCAAAAAUUUUCUUAUUAACGUAACUUCUAAUGGAAAUACAGUAUACUACUAUGGUGCAUACAAAGAAGAAAUAACAACGUAUGUUUGUUUUA
Long non-coding RNA from Symphalangus syndactylus (siamang), 1350 nucleotides. RefSeq lists it as uncharacterized. NCBI's taxonomy places the organism in Eukaryota, Metazoa, Chordata, Mammalia, Primates, Hylobatidae. The record is from RefSeq and is a predicted model, not a curated record.